Molecule: long non-coding RNA, 225 nt
Filed under: Elaeis guineensis (African oil palm)
Lineage: Eukaryota; Viridiplantae; Streptophyta; Magnoliopsida; Arecales; Arecaceae
Description: long non-coding RNA (EGUI_LNC059310)
Source: RNAcentral
UUCAGACAAGCUUCUACAUCAGACAAAUUUCAGACGGACUUUUCUAGCAAUCGGACUCCAGCCAAAUUUCUUCAACAGAAAGUUUCCGUCCGGGCUUCUAUAGCAGAUGACUUUCGUCUGCAGCAUCAACAUCUAAGGCACCCAACAACAGUUAAUCCAUCAGCAACUUUGGAAACAUCCGAGUUUCUCUUAAAUUACUAAGACAGAGAGUUAUUCCGCUCCACC